Molecule: unclassified non-coding RNA, 691 nt
Filed under: Hevea brasiliensis (rubber tree)
Lineage: Eukaryota; Viridiplantae; Streptophyta; Magnoliopsida; Malpighiales; Euphorbiaceae
Source: RNAcentral
UGGUCUGAACCAUAACUUGCCCCCAAAUCCAAUUCCAUCUGGUGCAAUGCUUACUAAUCUUCAUCAUUGUUCAGUUGCAUCACCAUUUAUACCUGUUUCUGUGACUCCACUGUCGCAAAUACAAGGCACCUCCAUGCCACCAUUUGAUCAUAUGUAUGCUGUGCCUGUUGUUCGACCACCAGUGACGUCUUUACCACCACAACCACCACCUCAGCUUGACUCAUUACCCCCGUUACCUCCACCUGUCUUGCAGCCUCCGUUACCUUCAUCCCCACCCCCACCACCUUACCCUGACCCACCUAAUAUUCCUCCUCCACCUAGUUCCCCACCUCCUCCUCCCCCGCCUCCAUUAUCUGAACCUUCAAGUUCAGGAAGUUCUAGACAAUAUUUGCAAUGUCGUUGGCAGGGCUCCUUGAGUAAAAGUGGAGUUCAUUACUGCACGAUUUAUGCCCAAAGAGUAGAGUCAGAUAUUUGCAGGUAUCCAAAUGCCAGUGCUGAGCCAACAGAAUGGCCUGUGAAGUUGGAUAUGACCAAACGUACUGAUUUUCGGCAUGUCAAAUCAACAUUUUGUAGUACACCACCCCACAAAAAGGAGAUAUGCUGGUUACUACCUUCUUCUCCAAUGGACCAUAAGGGCUUUCAAGAUUUUGUAUCAUACUUGAAGCAGAGGGAAUGUGCUGGUGUAAUUAAA